RNAcentral lists this long non-coding RNA (1837 nucleotides) under Helianthus annuus (common sunflower). RNAcentral's name for it is "hypothetical non coding rna". Lineage: Eukaryota; Viridiplantae; Streptophyta; Magnoliopsida; Asterales; Asteraceae. The record is from RNAcentral.
GUCAUUCAAAAUUAAAUUGAUAGCAUGUAACCGAUACCCAUCUACCCCUGCUCUCCUUUGUCACCCUUCAACCGAUGCCUCAUCAAUUAAGAAACAUCAGUUACAAACCCUAGCAAUUUAUAAACCCUGCUCAUCGGCUCCAAUUAAUCUGUGAUUUUCUCAAUUCUGCGCUGUUUUGGUUAUGUUAUAUCGUCUCCGAUAUUGUCUCAAUUCCUUCCCCCAACAUAGAAACACUAGAAAUCGAUGAACGAGAGUAGAAAUCGGUUAAAUGGUACCUGUAAUUGCACUCGUUUUGGGUUAGAUUCAAGAAAGGGUGAAAAACCGUUGUCCUAUGGUUCGGAUGGAGAGCAUUUCAGAUGAUCGAGCUUUCCAACUAUUUCAUCAGUUGGUCCAAACGGUUCAAUUAUUCAUUACGAACCAGAAGCUAAAACAUGUGCGGAACUCCAUCCAAAUCGCAUGUAUCUUUGUGAUUCUGGAGCUCAGUAUUUUGAUGGGACAACGGAAACGGAUAUAACUCGGACCGUUCAUUUCGGAAAGCCUUCUGAACAUGAAUAAAGAUGUUAUACUGCGGGUGUCAGCAAGGGAGGCCUAAAAGGAAUCGCCCACAUAACAGGAGGUGGUUUAACAAAUAAUGUCCCUCAAGGCCUCGGGGCCCGCAUUUACAACAACUUUUGGUCCGUUCUUCCUAUUUUCAAGUGGAUCCAAAAGGAUGAAAACAUUGAAGAUGCUGAAAUGAAGCGUACAUUUAAUAUGGGAAUCAGGAUGCUAGCGAAGAGGCUGCCCAAAGGAAAGAGGCAACUGAAGGUACAUGUUGGUACACCGGUAGGGGUGUAAACGAGUCGGGCAUAGUGCGAGCCUCCACUACUCAAGCUUGGCUCGUCAUGUUUUUAUGAAGCUCGGUUCGGUUCGGAUUUACUUAUUUGAGCUCGAGCUCGGCUUGCAAGUAAAACCCAAAUCUUGAGCUCAUUUUGAGCUCACAAGCUUAAACAUACUUUAUAUUUCUAGCUCGAGCUUGUUAAGUCUCGGUUUUUAUAUUAAGAUGCUUUUGAUUCCUCAACAACACUCUUUUAGGAUUUUCACUUUGCACUAAAUGGUAAUGUGUUCGGGAUUAUUCAAUCUACCUCACUGUUUUUUUUUUUUUUUUUUGUUCAAUACCAUGACAAACGAGUCGAUAUUGUUCAAACAACAUAUGAGGCGACAAAACAGACGCACCCGCCCCAAAGCGCGGGCAUUCCCACUAGUAGCCUAAAAAUGAUGAUGAUAUUUGCAUGUCUUUGCAAUUAAUCUUGCUAAGAAUUUUUUAAUGAAAGAAAUUAGAAUGGUAAGUGAGAAUUUGAUGAUAUUUAAUGGAAGAUGUAACAACUUGGCAAUGGCGAUUAACUGAAAAUUUUACAUUUUAGUGUUUCCGUCAUUUAGAUUUACAAAAUGAUUGUCCCACUACAAUACAAUUCAAGGAUAAGCCUCUAUGGUUCCUUGCUGCCCGCACUACCUUUUGCUGAUUGUGCAAAAGAUGAUCGUGGAACUUACACCAAUAGUCUGGAUUUUUUUGCAGAAGUAGGUGUUUUGAACCAGAAAAGAGUGCUUCUAGGUGCCCUGAAAUUUUUUGAGUGAAGAUAGGUAAGUCAUCGUUUGAAACAGUGACUUUCUUCCAAAUUUUUGCAAAAGCUGCACAUACUGCAAUCGUUACACUCGCAUUCAUACUUCAGUUAUCCUUUACUUCUAUGGUGGUUUAUUCUCUUUUUUUUUUCUUUUUCUUUUUUUUUUCUUUUUUGUCUUUGAUUUGGAUUAUACCAAAGUAAUUGAUGAAUAAUCAAUGACUAUACCAAUGACUAUGAUC